GCGCCCGUAGCUCAGCAGGAUAGAGCACCGGUUUCCGGGGCUGGAGGUCGCAGGUUCGAAUCCUGCCGGGCGCA
This 74-nucleotide transfer RNA is filed under the name Persephonella sp. RNAcentral's name for it is "tRNA-Arg". It matches the Rfam family "tRNA". Rfam says of the family: Transfer RNA (tRNA) molecules are approximately 80 nucleotides in length. Their secondary structure includes four short double-helical elements and three loops (D, anti-codon, and T loops). The record is from RNAcentral. Lineage: Bacteria; Pseudomonadati; Aquificota; Aquificia; Aquificales; Hydrogenothermaceae.